CGCCAGACUCCUACGGGAGGCAGCAGUGGGGAAUAUUGCACAAUGGGGGAAACCCUGAUGCAGCGACGCCGCGUGAGCGAUGAAGUAUUUCGGUAUGUAAAGCUCUAUCAGCAGGGAAGAAAAUGACGGUACCUGACUAAGAAGCCCCGGCUAACUACGUGCCAGCAGCCGCGGUAAUACGUAGGGGGCAAGCGUUAUCCGGAUUUACUGGGUGUAAAGGGAGCGUAGACGGCUGUGCAAGCCAGAUGUGAAAGCCCGGGGCCCAACCCCGGGACUGCAUUUGGAACUGUGUGGCUGGAGUGUCGGAGAGGCAGGCGGAAUUCCUAGUGUAGCGGUGAAAUGCGUAGAUAUUAGGAGGAACACCAGUGGCGAAGGCGGCCUGCUGGACGAUGACUGACGUUGAGGCUCGAAAGCGUGGGGAGCAAACAGGAUUAGAUACCCCGGUA
Molecule: ribosomal RNA, 446 nt
Filed under: uncultured bacterium
Lineage: Bacteria
Description: bacterial SSU rRNA
Rfam family: Bacterial small subunit ribosomal RNA
Source: RNAcentral